This 628-nucleotide ribosomal RNA is filed under the name Sclerotium tuliparum. RNAcentral's name for it is "eukaryotic LSU rRNA". The stretch from base 200 to 353 matches the Rfam family "5.8S ribosomal RNA". Lineage: Eukaryota; Fungi; Basidiomycota; Agaricomycetes; Agaricales; Typhulaceae. The record is from RNAcentral.
UUAUCGAAUGAAUGUAGAGUCGGUUGUAGCUGGCCUCUUUUAAACGGGAGGCAUGUGCACGCCUUCUCUUUCAUCCACACACACACCUGUGCACCUGUGAGACAACAGAGGACUUUGCGAAAGGUCUUCUGUCUGUCAAAUACAUAAACUCAUAUACUUAUAAACCUGAAUGUAAUCUGAUGUAACGCAUCUAUAAACUAAGUUUCAACAACGGAUCUCUUGGCUCUCGCAUCGAUGAAGAACGCAGCGAAAUGCGAUAAGUAAUGUGAAUUGCAGAAUUCAGUGAAUCAUCGAAUCUUUGAACGCACCUUGCGCUCCUUGGUAUUCCUUGGAGCAUGCCUGUUUGAGUAUCAUGAAAUUAUCAAAACAAGUCCUUCGUUGAUUCGAGGUCGACUUUUUGUUUUGGACUUGGAGGCCUUUGCGGAUUCACGUCCGCUCCUCUCAAACACAUUAGCUGGAUCUCAGUGAACUCGGUUCCACUCGGCGUGAUAAGUAUCACUCGCUGAGGACACUUCCUAAAAAAAAGUGGCCGGGGUCGCGGAUGAACCGCUUCCAACCGGUCUAUUAGCUUAGACAAAAUACUUUAUGAUCUGAUCUCAAAUCAGGUAGGACUACCCGCUGAACUUAA